CUGGGAGAAGUGGACCUGCUC
RNAcentral lists this non-coding RNA (21 nucleotides) under Rattus norvegicus (Norway rat). The record is from RNAcentral. Lineage: Eukaryota; Metazoa; Chordata; Mammalia; Rodentia; Muridae.